GAUGAAGAACGUAGCGAAAUGCGAUACUUGGUGUGAAUUGCAGAAUCCCGUGAACCAUCGAGUCUUUGAACGCAAGUUGCGCCCGAAGCCAUUAGGCCGAGGGCACGCCUGCCUGGGCGUCACACGUCGUUGCCCCCCCAUCUACUCCUUCGGGAUUGCGGGGGGCGGAUGAUGGCCUCCCGUGCGCCUCGUCGCGCGGUUGGCAUAAAUGCCAAGUCCUCGGCGACGCACGCCACGACAAUCGGUGGUUGCGAAACCUCGGUUGCCCGUCGUGUGCGGUCGACGCGCAUCGAGGGCUCGAAAAAAUUGCCGGGCUCCGGCUCGGCUUUCAACGCGACCCCAGGUCAGGCGGGGUUACCCGCUGAAUUUAAGCAUAUCAAUAAGCGGAGGA
RNAcentral lists this unclassified non-coding RNA (391 nucleotides) under soil metagenome. RNAcentral describes it as "partial contains 5.8S ribosomal RNA, internal transcribed spacer 2, and large subunit ribosomal RNA". The stretch from base 1 to 122 matches the Rfam family "5.8S ribosomal RNA", at positions 35 to 154 of the family's 154-position model. The record is from RNAcentral.